This 351-nucleotide ribosomal RNA is filed under the name uncultured bacterium. RNAcentral describes it as "partial 16S ribosomal RNA". It matches the Rfam family "Bacterial small subunit ribosomal RNA", at positions 338 to 686 of the family's 1533-position model. The record is from RNAcentral.
CCUACGGGAGGCAGCAGUGAGGAAUAUUGGUCAAUGGACGCAAGUCUGAACCAGCCAUGCCGCGUGCAGGAAGACGGCUCUAUGAGUUGUAAACUGCUUUUGUCCGAGGGUAAACGCAGAUACGCGUAUCUGUCUGAAAGUAUCGUACGAAUAAGGAUUGGCGAACUCCGUCCCAGCAGCCGCGGUAAUACGGAGGAUUCAAGCGUUAUCCGGAGUUAUUGGGUUUAAAGGGUGCGUAGGAGGUCGGAUAAGUUAGAGGGGAAAUCCCGAGGCGCAACUUCGGCAUUGCCUCUGAUACUGUUCGGCUAGAGAGUAGUUGCGGUAGGCGGAAUGUAUGGUGUAGCGGUGAAA